UGGGGGAUAUUGCACAAUGGGCGAAAGCCUGAUGCAGCGACGCCGCGUGGGGGAUGAAGGCCUUCGGGUUGUAAACUUCUUUUGCUCUGAACAAGGCAUGCUUUUGGGGUGUGUUGAGUGUAGGGGUUGAUUAGCGCCGGCUAACUACGUGCCAGCAGCCGCGGUAAUACGUAGGGCGCGAGCGUUGUCCGGAAUUAUUGGGCGUAAAGGGCUUGUAGGUGGCUGGUUGCGUCUGUCGUGAAAGCUCAUGGCUUAACUGUGGGUUUGCGGUGGGUACGGGCUGGCUUGAGUGCAGUAGGGGAGGCUGGAAUUCCUGGUGUGGGGGUGGAAUGCGCAGAUAUCAGGAGGAAUACAGGUGGGGAAGGCGGGUCUCUGGGCUGUUACUGACGCUGAGGAGCGAAAGGGUGGGGAGCGAACAGG
This 420-nucleotide ribosomal RNA is filed under the name Fusobacteriota bacterium. RNAcentral's name for it is "Fusobacteria bacterium partial 16S ribosomal RNA". It matches the Rfam family "Bacterial small subunit ribosomal RNA", at positions 355 to 776 of the family's 1533-position model. Lineage: Bacteria; Fusobacteriati; Fusobacteriota. The record is from RNAcentral.